AAGCGUCACAUUAACGGGGCUUUUUUGAGCUAGAUGGAGAACAGUGUGGAUGGGACCAGGAGGUUGGACUCCCCCAAGGAGCACAGAUCCACACUUCUUGCCUUGCAGGACAGAGGCCAGGCACAGGAGGGAGCUUUCUGCUUGCACACAUCAUGACCCAGCACUGUGGCAGCAGGCAGUUUACAGUGAAACAGCAAUAGCUCAGUCCCAGGACCGCUGCAGUGCCCAGGCUCUCACUGCAGAACAGAAAGCAGUUCCCAGGAGGAGCUGCCCAUGACCCAAAACAGCCCC
Non-coding RNA from Coturnix japonica (Japanese quail), 291 nucleotides. The record is from RefSeq and is a predicted model, not a curated record. Lineage: Eukaryota; Metazoa; Chordata; Aves; Galliformes; Phasianidae.